UAGAAAAAUGAUUGAUUGAUUGAUAAACAAAGGAUGUGACUCUAAACUUAUGUUUCUGAGCCCCAGCUUUCCCACAAACCCCUCCCUCCUGUCCCAGCUUUUUCUUCUUUUUAUUAAAGUUUCACUUUCACUUGUCCUGAACUUGGUGUCGCAGAUGAUCUUGUCGGUGUGAAUAUCCAUGUGAAGGCAGACUGCAGACUGGGAAACACCAGUCCUUCUUAGUCCUUCUACUCACAACAUAUAAGAAUCUAACUGGAACACGUCCUCUUACUGAGGUCUGCACUACGAAGCAGGAUUUGAUCUUAUCAAGGUAAUGUCAGGGUUCUUACAGGGGUAUGUUCCCAAUGGUAACUUAUGCAGCUAUUUUUCAGUCUCACUGACCAAACCUUUUCAAACAUGCUGGACUUGAAACAUGAAAAACAGACAUUGGUUUUGAAUUGUGGUUCAGCAGAAUCACGUUUCAGUUUUUAGCCCUGUUUUGGUUCAUCAUCCUGUUGGAGGAUCUGUGACCUGUGACUGAGACAAAGCUUUCUGAUACUGGGCAGCACAUUUCACUGUACACUAUCUAGGGGUUGUUGUUUUUUUGUUGUUGUUGUUAUUUUUGUUUGUUUUUUGCAGGAACACUUAACUUUUACAAAUAAUUAGAUUCAUCCAUUAUUUAUUACUUAUAUUUAUCCGACAUGAUUCCUUCCAAAUGUCUGAAGUAAUGCUGGUACCUACUCUAACUGGAAGAAGUAGUCUAUAAACAGAUUUGUUAAUAUUUGAACCUUUGCAGUACAAAUGUUCAUAUUUGUACAAGCAGGCUGGGUGUGGCUGUGUCUGUUUGUUUUACAGCAUCAGAGCCAUAGCAGGAAGUUGUUGCUGUUGUAAUCAUUGGCGUGUUCCACACAGUGGAGAACCAAAGAGUGAAGAAGUUCUUUGGAAGAAGCUGAAUGAACAGUCUGUGUCAGUGUCUUCAGACGGCUGCAGGUUGUUACCAGCUUCAUUAAAUGUUUCUCAUUCUGCAUUUCAUAUCACAUCUGCCACUGUUUGAUCCUCUUUAACAGAGGAGAUCAGACUGUAAUGUGAUAUUUAUUAAGACUCAGUUUUCUUGUGAACUCUGAACAGAUUAGAUUAGAUUAGAUACAGCCUCACAAAUCAAACUAUAAACUAUAAAACGAGCUCUGAUUUGAGUUCAGAUGGUUCAGAUGCUGGACUCCAGUCUGACUGAUACUCAAGUUGUUUUAUGGAGCGCCAAGAUUCAUGUUCAUUUGUUAAAUAUUCUUCAUAAUUCAUGGAGAAUAUUUAACAGGAAUCAGUGAGCGCCCCCUGCUGGUUCCCUCUGAGUGCUGCUUGUCAGUCUGCAGUGAUACUGCAGGAUUGAUUUAUGGAGGCUUUGAGGGAUUCACUGCAGUUCUUCUGUAGUUAGUCCCUCACAGCUACAUAGUCAGUCACAGUGCCACUGAUACGAGCUACACCAGUUCUAUAGUCCCUACAAACAACACAUGAAAUACUAACAGGCUGAAAAGGAGACCAGGGAGUGUGAAUGAUCACAUAUGUGACAUGUGAUGUGUGGAUAGAUGGAAAAUCUGUAAUAAAUACAAGGUAAAAUUAAAUAGCCUGUCUCUCUGCUGAUAAUGUGUGGAUAUAGGGGUAAUGAUAAAACUGGAAAGAUGUCAUUCUAUGUUCUGUUAAUGAAAACUCAUUUUUAUCUUCAUCUAAAUAAACUUCUGUUUCAAUAAGCACAAAAUCUGCAUAUAUAGAAUCAUGAGCAAAUUGAAUUAAAUGAAUAAUUGAUUUUUUCAAAACCAUUUAAAAACUCUGCUAACUGACACAAUGUGAUGUUUUAUUCUUCCCCGGAGGCUCCAUGUCUACCACCAUUAUUUAUUUUCAUAGAAAUCUGUCAGAAAUGUUAAUUCAGGAUUGUUUUGAUUACUGUAUCUCUCUAAUAAAACCACAGUAACUUCUG
Long non-coding RNA from Oreochromis aureus, 1948 nucleotides. RefSeq lists it as uncharacterized. The record is from RefSeq and is a predicted model, not a curated record. The transcript is spliced from 4 exons. NCBI's taxonomy places the organism in Eukaryota, Metazoa, Chordata, Actinopteri, Cichliformes, Cichlidae.